GGCUCUAUAGUGUAGUGGUUAUCACCUCGGAUUCUGAGCUCGUUUCAUAAUUCCGGUAACGCCGGUUCGACUCCGGCUAGGGCCU
RNAcentral lists this transfer RNA (85 nucleotides) under Rhizoctonia solani AG-1 IB. It matches the Rfam family "tRNA". From Rfam's summary of the family: Transfer RNA (tRNA) molecules are approximately 80 nucleotides in length. Their secondary structure includes four short double-helical elements and three loops (D, anti-codon, and T loops). Lineage: Eukaryota; Fungi; Basidiomycota; Agaricomycetes; Cantharellales; Ceratobasidiaceae. The record is from Rfam by way of RNAcentral.